RNAcentral lists this long non-coding RNA (285 nucleotides) under Ananas comosus (pineapple). Its description in RNAcentral is "long non-coding RNA (ACOM_LNC000645)". Lineage: Eukaryota; Viridiplantae; Streptophyta; Magnoliopsida; Poales; Bromeliaceae. The record is from RNAcentral.
UGUGGAUUUUAGGGAUGUAUGUCUUGUUAAGAAAAAAAGUCCAGAUCGAAUGUGCCAUUUAUAUUACUGGUAUGGUAUUUUCAAUCAAUCAGAUUAUUACUUUUGGAAUCAUCCAUCCAUCGUAGUUAUUAGAAAAAUAUUGUUAUUGUAUUUUUUUUUUUCAAAAAGAGAGAUGUGAUUGACUGGUUAUCGAUGAUACAGUGUAAGUUUUACGCAGUAGACUUUCUCCCUGUUUAAGUAUAUACAUAUAUAUAUAUAUAUAUUCGGAAGUUAUUCAAAAAAAUU